AUUGAACGCUGGCGGCAUGCCUUACACAUGCAAGUCGAACGGUAACAGGUCUUCGGAUGCUGACGAGUGGCGAACGGGUGAGUAAUACAUCGGAACGUGCCCGAUCGUGGGGGAUAACGAGGCGAAAGCUUUGCUAAUACCGCAUACGAUCUACGGAUGAAAGCGGGGGAUCUUCGGACCUCGCGCGGACGGAGCGGCCGAUGGCAGAUUAGGUAGUUGGUGGGAUAAAAGCUUACCAAGCCGACGAUCUGUAGCUGGUCUGAGAGGAUGAUCAGCCACACUGGGACUGAGACACGGCCCAGACUCCUACGGGAGGCAGCAGUGGGGAAUUUUGGACAAUGGGCGGAAGCCUGAUCCAGCCAUGCCGCGUGCAGGAUGAAGGCCUUUGGGUUGUAAACUGCUUUUGUACGGAACGAAAAGCCUCUUUCUAAUAAAGAGGGGUCAUGACGGUACCGUAAGAAUAAGCACCGGCUAACUACGUG
RNAcentral lists this ribosomal RNA (482 nucleotides) under uncultured bacterium. RNAcentral describes it as "partial 16S ribosomal RNA". It matches the Rfam family "Bacterial small subunit ribosomal RNA", at positions 30 to 507 of the family's 1533-position model. The record is from RNAcentral.